Ruminococcus sp. CAG:177 is the source of this 174-nucleotide regulatory RNA element. It matches the Rfam family "Lysine riboswitch aptamer". Rfam says of the family: Riboswitches are metabolite binding domains within certain messenger RNAs that serve as precision sensors for their corresponding targets. NCBI's taxonomy places the organism in Bacteria, Bacillati, Bacillota, Clostridia, Eubacteriales, Oscillospiraceae. The record is from Rfam.
GCACUUGAUAGAGGAUGCGAACGAGAAGAGUAUCCAGUAGCAACGCCGGCAAGCGGCAGCUGGGGAAAGGCAAGUUCGCCGAAGUUCUAUCGCGGUUGCCGCCGCGGUAAUGCUGGGCCCUCGCCGAACAGGCGACGGACUGUCACAUGACUUAUGUGGAGCGCUAUCAUCGGU